This is a long non-coding RNA of Polypterus senegalus (gray bichir), 461 nucleotides long. RefSeq lists it as uncharacterized. The transcript has 3 exons. The record is from RefSeq and is a predicted model, not a curated record. Lineage: Eukaryota; Metazoa; Chordata; Cladistia; Polypteriformes; Polypteridae.
CAGCUAAAAUGCUAAGAAACAAGCUGCUGUCUCAGGUAUGGCCUCACAAGAGACAACACCUGCUGAAGUUAAGAGGCCUGCAGUGAUAUAUUGAAUAACAUCAUGGGGGACAUCAGGGACAUAAACAGGCUCCUUCUACUGAAAGGUAAUAUUAACUUUGAUGAGAAACAGCCUUCAAUGGAUACAAUCUAACACUCAACUCAGAAAAUCUAAAAAUGAGUGACCGUGGCUUGAGUGAGGAAUUUGUUAAACUCUUCUCCAGGAAAAGAAGAUCUGAUCAAGAUGUUGCUACUCUGUCUGGUUUGACAAAGACAUUUCCUUAUGUUAUAAAAACAUUCUCUCAUGAGGAUCUCCUCAAGAUCACAGAAUACUACAAGCCCUACUUGAGCUACGUGAUUGAAUACGACAUCACAAGUAUCCUUCAGAACCUGGCAACCAAGAACAUCCUCACCAAUGCUGAG